UCUAGCGACCUCCACCGACCCUUGACCAUCUAGCGACCUCCACCGAUGAAGGACGUUACUAACGACGAUAUGCUUUGGGUAGCUGUAAGUAAGCGUUNCAUCNAGNGANNUCCACCGAAUGGGGGAACCCAGCAUGAGUUAUGUCAUGUUAUCGACAUGUGAAUUCAUAGCAUGUCAGAAGGCAGACCCGGAGAACUGAAACAUCUUAGUACCCGGAGGAAGAGAAAGAAAAAUCGAUUCCCUGAGUAGCGGCGAGCGAAACGGGAAGAGCCCAAACCAACAAGCUUGCUUGUUGGGGUUGUAGGACACUCUAUACGGAGUUACAAAAGAACAUGUUAGACGAAUCAUCUGGAAAGAUGAAUCAAAGAAGGUAAUAAUCCUGUAGUCGAAAACAUAUUCUCUCUUGAGUGGAUCCUGAGUACGACGGAGCACGUGAAAUUCCGUCGGAAUCUGGGAGGACCAUCUCCUAAGGCUAAAUACUCUCUAGUGACCGAUAGUGAACCAGUACCGUGAGGGAAAGGUGAAAAGNACCCCGGAAGGGGAGUGAAAGAGNACUUGAAACCGUGUGCUUACAAGUAGUCAGAGCCCGUUAAUGGGUGAUGGCGUGCCUUUUGUAGAAUGAACCGGCGAGUUACGAUCUGAUGCAAGGUUAAGCAGCAAAUGUGGAGCCGCAGCGAAAGCGAGUCUGAAUAGGGCGUUGAGUAUUUGGUCGUAGACCCGAAACCAGGUGAUCUACCCUUGGUCAGGUUGAAGUUCAGGUAACACUGAAUGGAGGACCGAACCGACUUACGUUGAAAAGUGAGCGGAUGAACUGAGGGUAGCGGAGAAAUUCCAAUCGAACUUGGAGAUAGCUGGUUCUCUCCGAAAUAGCUUUAGGGCUAGCCUCAAGUGAUGAUUAUUGGAGGUAGAGCACUGUUUGGACGAGGGGCCCCUCUCGGGUUACCGAAUUCAGACAAACUCCGAAUGCCAAUUAAUUUAACUUGGGAGUCAGAACAUGGGUGAUAAGGUCCGUGUUCGAAAGGGAAACAGCCCAGACCACCAGCUAAGGUCCCAAAAUAUAUGUUAAGUGGAAAAGGAUGUGGCGUUGCCCAGACAACUAGGAUGUUGGCUUAGAAGCAGCCAUCAUUUAAAGAGUGCGUAAUAGCUCACUAGUCGAGUGACACUGCGCCGAAAAUGUACCGGGGCUAAACAUAUUACCGAAGCUGUGGAUUGUCCUUUGGACAAUGGUAGGAGAGCGUUCUAAGGGCGUCGAAGCAUGAUCGCAAGGACAUGUGGAGCGCUUAGAAGUGAGAAUGCCGGUGUGAGUAGCGAAAGACNGGUGAGAAUCCNGUCCACCGNNNGACUAAGGUUUCCNGNGGAAGGCUCGUCCGCNCNGGGUUAGUCGGGUCCUAAGCUGAGGCCUGACAGGCGUAGGUCGAUGGAUAACCAGGUUGAUAUUCCUGUACCACCUAGUAUCGUUUUAAUCGAUGGGGGGACGCAGUAGGAUAGGCGAAGCGUGCUGUUGGAGUGCACGUCCAAGCAGUAAGGCUGAGUGUUAGGCAAAUCCGGCACUCAUAAGGCUGAGCUGUGAUGGGGAGAGGAAAUUGUUUCCUCGAGUCGUUGAUUUCACACUGCCGAGAAAAGCCUCUAGAUAGAUAACAGGUGCCCGUACCGCAAACCGACACAGGUAGUCAAGAUGAGAAUUCUAAGGUGAGCGAGCGAACUCUCGUUAAGGAACUCGGCAAAAUGACCCCGUAACUUCGGGAGAAGGGGUGCUCUUUAGGGUUCACGCCCAGAAGAGCCGCAGUGAAUAGGCCCAAGCGACUGUUUAUCAAAAACACAGGUCUCUGCUAAACCGUAAGGUGAUGUAUAGGGGCUGACGCCUGCCCGGUGCUGGAAGGUUAAGAGGAGUGGUUAGCUUCUGCGAAGCNACGAAUCGAAGCCCCAGUAAACGGCGGCCGUAACUAUAACGGUCCUAAGGUAGCGAAAUUCCUUGUCGGGUAAGUUCCGACCCG
Molecule: ribosomal RNA, 1994 nt
Filed under: insect metagenome
Description: bacterial LSU rRNA
Rfam family: Bacterial large subunit ribosomal RNA
Source: RNAcentral